This 412-nucleotide ribosomal RNA is filed under the name uncultured bacterium. RNAcentral's name for it is "bacterial SSU rRNA". It matches the Rfam family "Bacterial small subunit ribosomal RNA", at positions 1 to 385 of the family's 1533-position model. The record is from RNAcentral.
AAGAGGGUUUUGGAUCAUGGCUCAGGGCGAACGUUAGCGGCGGGCCUAACACAUGCAAGUCGAACGAGAACGCUCCUUCGGGAGUUAUUAAAGUGGGCGCACGGGUGAGGAACGCGUAGGUAAUCUACCCUCCGGCGGGGGACAACACUUUCCGAAAGGAAGUGCUAAUACCGCGUAAGACCACGCCCACUGCGGUGGAAGUGGUUAAAGACGGCCUCUUCUUGAAAGCUGUCACCAGAGGAUGAGCCUGCGUCCCAUCAGCUUGUUGGUGAGGUAAUGGCUUACCAAGGCGAAGACGGGUAGCUGGGUCUGAGAGGGAUGAUCAGCCACACUGGCACUGGAACACGGGGCCAGAACUCCUACGGGGGAGGCAAGCAGUGAGGAAUUAUUGGGGCAAUGGGCGCCAAGCCUG